CGGCCAGACUCCUACGGGAGGCAGCAGUGAGGAAUAUUGGUCAAUGGGCUUACGCCUGAACCAGCCAAGUCGCGUGAGGGAAGACUGCCCUAUGGGUUGUAAACCUCUUUUGUCAGGGAGCAAUUGGCGCUACGUGUAGCGUUAUCGAGAGUACCUGAAGAAAAAGCAUCGGCUAACUCCGUGCCAGCAGCCGCGGUAAUACGGAGGAUGCGAGCGUUAUCCGGAUUUAUUGGGUUUAAAGGGUGCGUAGGCGGAAUGCCAAGUCAGGGGUAAAAUCGCGGGGCUCAACCGCGCUCCGCCGUUGAAACUGGCGUUCUUGAGUGGGCGAGAAGUAUGCGGAAUGCGUGGUGUAGCGGUGAAAUGCAUAGAUAUCGCGCAGAACUCCGAUUGCGAAGGCAGCAUGCCGGCUCCACACUGACGCUGAGGCACGAAAGCGUGGGUAUCGAACAGGAUUAGAUACCCCGGUA
RNAcentral lists this ribosomal RNA (467 nucleotides) under uncultured bacterium. Its description in RNAcentral is "bacterial SSU rRNA". It matches the Rfam family "Bacterial small subunit ribosomal RNA", at positions 328 to 792 of the family's 1533-position model. The record is from RNAcentral.